GUGUUAAUGAAUAUUCAUAACUCUACACACCUCCAAACCACGCAGCAAGCAUUUACAGGGUGCCACAGUCACUUGUACAAUUCCAUACGUUCAUAUCUCCACAAUCAGAACAGAGCACAGCCCAUCAUUGGUAAGAGAGUGUCCAGCAUC
RNAcentral lists this long non-coding RNA (150 nucleotides) under Sinocyclocheilus anshuiensis. RNAcentral's name for it is "lncRNA (ENSSANG00000011106.1)". The record is from RNAcentral. Lineage: Eukaryota; Metazoa; Chordata; Actinopteri; Cypriniformes; Cyprinidae.